GAUGAACGCUGGCGGCGUGCCUAAUACAUGCAAGUCGAGCGAACAGAUGAGGAGCUUGCUCCUCUGACGUUAGCGGCGGACGGGUGAGUAACACGUGGAUAACCUACCUAUAAGACUGGGAUAACUUCGGGAAACCGGAGCUAAUACCGGAUAAUAUAUUGAACCGCAUGGUUCAAUAGUGAAAGACGGUUUUGCUGUCACUUAUAGAUGGAUCCGCGCCGCAUUAGCUAGUUGGUAAGGUAACGGCUUACCAAGGCAACGAUGCGUAGCCGACCUGAGAGGGUGAUCGGCCACACUGGAACUGAGACACGGUCCAGACUCCUACGGGAGGCAGCAGUAGGGAAUCUUCCGCAAUGGGCGAAAGCCUGACGGAGCAACGCCGCGUGAGUGAUGAAGGUCUUCGGAUCGUAAAACUCUGUUAUUAGGGAAGAACAAAUGUGUAAGUAACUAUGCACGUCUUGACGGUAACUAAUCAGAAAGCCACGGCUAACUACGUG
Molecule: ribosomal RNA, 497 nt
Filed under: uncultured bacterium
Lineage: Bacteria
Description: partial 16S ribosomal RNA
Rfam family: Bacterial small subunit ribosomal RNA
Source: RNAcentral